UACGGAGGGUGCAAGCGUUAUCCGGAUUCACUGGGCUUAAAGGGUGCGUAGGAGGGAUGGGAAGUCCGUGGUGAAAUCUCCGAGCUUAACUCGGAAACUGCCGUGGAUACUCUCUGUCUUGAAUCCCGUGGAGAUGAGCGGAAUAUGUCAUGUAGCGGUGAAAUGCUUAGAUAUGACAUAGAACACCAAUUGCGAAGGCAGCUCGUUACACGAAGAUUGACUCUGAGGCACGAAAGCGUGGGGAUCAAACAGG
Molecule: ribosomal RNA, 253 nt
Filed under: uncultured bacterium
Lineage: Bacteria
Description: partial 16S ribosomal RNA
Rfam family: Bacterial small subunit ribosomal RNA
Source: RNAcentral